Molecule: long non-coding RNA, 2171 nt
Filed under: Daucus carota (carrot)
Lineage: Eukaryota; Viridiplantae; Streptophyta; Magnoliopsida; Apiales; Apiaceae
Description: long non-coding RNA (DCAR_LNC003880)
Source: RNAcentral
AAAUUCUUGGUGUCCCAAAAACAGCAUCACCUGAUGAUCUGAAGAAAGCUUACAGGAAGGCUGCUAUCAAGAAUCAUCCUGAUAAGGGUGGCGAUCCUGAAAAGGUUGCUUUUUGUUUGGUUUUAGUGUUUGAUUUGGUUGAUUCUAUUGUCUUUGUUGAUGAAUUGUGUGAAAGUGGAUCUUUUUGUUGUGUUUGGGGACAUUUGUUUGUGAUGUUAUCUGGGUGUGUGUUUUUGUUAUGUUAUGAAUUGGGGGCAUGAUGGAUGGGGGAUGUAAGGGGAGCUGAUUGAAGGUUAUGUGUUUAGUUCCAUUUUACGGCCUAGUGGGAAGUAGGGGGAAGUGACUUGUUAUGUAUCCAUGGACUGUUGGAUCGAUUGAAACACAAUUGUGAGUAACAAUUGGAAUUGAUACGGGUUAAUUUACUGAUUUAUCAAUAUUCUUAAUAACAUAAAAUUCACUUCCGUUAUUGAAUUAAAUGAUCAAGAUUAGGUAUGAUACAUUAGUAGUACACUACUUCAUCAUCUUGGACUUGCUCUAAGAGCAACUCCAAUGCAAUGCUAUACUUGGUUCUAUUGCUAUAUUAUAGCAUCAAAAGUAAAAAAAUUCAACUCCAAAGGGGUGCUAUAUUUGGAUGCAUCCAUGCAUAGAUGCAUCCUUGGUUCUAUAUUUGAAACCAAGGAUGGAUCCAUCCAUGUUGCCACAUCCUUGGUUCUAUAUUUUACUCAUAGAAGUUAGGUAAAAAGUUAAUGAGUUGCUUAAAUUUAUAACUAGUUAUAAAACUUAGCAUUGGAGUGCAAGUUUUAUUUUAGCAUCAAAAAACACUUUUUGGUGCUAUAUUAUAGCAAUAGCAAUAGAUAUAUAGCAUCUAGCAUUGGACUUGCUCUUAUGUGCUGUUACAUUGCGUACUAACAAAAAUCCCCUUUCCUAGUUAUGCAUACCCGAAAUUGAAACCCUAGGUGAUAGCUAAAAGCUAAAAAUAAAGUAGUUUGGGGAUAGAGAGAAUUAGAAAUGAUCUGUGGUUUGUAAGUAAGAGAAACUAUCUUGUUUUGGUUGUACUGGUGUUCCUUUUGAUUUUUAAUAUUUUAGUCAUGAUUUUACUUUCUCUUUGCAUAAAUUCUUUCUGUUUUCUUUUAUUGCCCAUCCUUUCGUGGAAUAGGCUUAAUUUAAGCUAUUGUAUUAUGCUAGUUUAAAGAGCUUGCGCAAGCAUAUGAGGUUCUGAGUGACCCAGAGAAGCGUGAAAUCUAUGAUCAGUAUGGAGAGGAUGCUCUCAAGGAGGGAAUGGGUGGUGGUGGAGGUGGUGGCCAUGACCCAUUUGACAUUUUCCAAUCCUUCUUUGGUGGCAGCCCGUUUGGUGGUAAGUUUGCGUGCAUUUAUCCUGAUUUUACAAUUUCUCUGCAAAUUUUAUAUUGUUCUCAGUCAUAGCAAUAUACCUGUUUCGUCAGGAGGUGGCAGCAGCAGAGGACGAAGGCAAAGAAGGGGGGAGGAUGUCAUUCAUCCCCUUAAGGUUUCACUGGAAGAUCUUUGCAAUGGGACUUCCAAGAAGCUUUCCCUUUCACGUAAUGUAAUUUGUUCUAAAUGCAAGGGGUGAGUAGUCAUCUACGUUCCUCACUGUUUAUGUUCUGUACUUUAUUGUACAUUUGUACCCUGGGUCAAAUCCUUACUCUUGUUAUGGCUGUGUGUGUGCAUAAAUGAAGAAAGGGGUCCAAGUCGGGUGCUUCAAUGACAUGUCCUGGCUGCCAGGGUUCUGGAAUGAAGGUUUCUAUCAGGCACUUGGGCCCAUCUAUGAUCCAGCAGAUGCAGCAUCCCUGCAAUGACUGCAAGGGUACUGGAGAAACAAUCAACGACAAGGAUCGCUGCCCUCAAUGCAAAGGUCAAAAGGUUGUGCAGGAGAAGAAAGCAAUAGAAGUUAUUGUGGAGAAGGGUAUGCAAAACGGACAGAAGAUUACAUUCCCUGGAGAAGCUGAUGAAGCGGUAAUUAGAAUACUCUCUCCACUAAGCUUAAGAUUUUGAAAGGCUUCUUUUACUAAUUUUAAAAUUCUAUUGUCUCUUUGUUGUUUGACUAACAAUAUUUUGAACUCAAUAUGCUAUAUUGCAGCCUGACACGGUUACUGGGGACAUAGUGUUUGUGUUGCAACAAAAGGAGCACCCCAAGUUUAAGAGGAAGGGUGAUG